GACGAACGCUGGCGGCGUGCUUAACACAUGCAAGUCGAACGGAAAGGCCCUGCUUUUGUGGGGUGCUCGAGUGGCGAACGGGUGAGUAACACGUGAGUAACCUGCCCUUUACUUUGGGAUAACUUCAGGAAACUGUGGCUAAUACCGUAUAGGAGCUCCUGCUUCUUGUUGUUGGUUGGAAAUUUUCGGCGGUUGGGGAUGGACUCGCGGCUUAUCAGCUUGUUGGUGGGGUAGUUGCUUACCAAGGCUUUGACGGUUAGCCGGCCUGAGAGGGUGACCGGCCACAUUGGGACUGAGAUACGGCCAAGACUCCUAGGGGAGGAAGAAGUGGGGAAUAUUGAACAAUGGGAGGAAGCCUGAUGCAGCAAGGCCGCGUGCGGGAUGACGGCCUUCGGGUUGUAAACCGCUUUCGCCUGUGACGAAGCGUGAGUGACGGUAAUGGGUAAAGAAGCACCGGCUAACUACGUG
This 468-nucleotide ribosomal RNA is filed under the name uncultured bacterium. RNAcentral describes it as "partial 16S ribosomal RNA". It matches the Rfam family "Bacterial small subunit ribosomal RNA", at positions 28 to 507 of the family's 1533-position model. The record is from RNAcentral.